RNAcentral lists this ribosomal RNA (496 nucleotides) under uncultured bacterium. RNAcentral's name for it is "partial 16S ribosomal RNA". It matches the Rfam family "Bacterial small subunit ribosomal RNA", at positions 29 to 507 of the family's 1533-position model. The record is from RNAcentral.
AUGAACGCUGGCGGCGUGCCUAAUACAUGCAAGUCGAGCGAACGGACGAGAAGCUUGCUUCUCUGAUGUUAGCGGCGGCCGGGUGAGUAACACGUGGAUAACCUACCUAUAAGACUGGGAUAACUUCGGGAAACCGGAGCUAAUACCGGAUAAUAUUUUGAACCGCAUGGUUCAAAAGUGAAAGACGGUCUUGCUGUCACUUAUAGAUGGAUCCGCGCUGCAUUAGCUAGUUGGUAAGGUAACGGCUUACCAAGGCAACGAUGCAUAGCCGACCUGAGAGGGUGACCGGCCACACUGGAACUGAGACACGGUCCAGACUCCUACGGGAGGCAGCAGUAGGGAAUCUUCCGCAAUGGGCGAAAGCCUGACGGAGCAACGCCGCGUGAGUGAUGAAGGUCUUCGGAUCGUAAAACUCUGUUAUUAGGGAAGAACAUAUGUGUAAGUAACUGUGCACAUCUUGACGGUACCUAAUCAGAAAGCCACGGCUAACUACGUG